This 391-nucleotide ribosomal RNA is filed under the name uncultured bacterium. RNAcentral describes it as "bacterial SSU rRNA". It matches the Rfam family "Bacterial small subunit ribosomal RNA", at positions 139 to 525 of the family's 1533-position model. The record is from RNAcentral.
GGGGAUAACUAUCCGAAAGGAUAGCUAAUACCGCAUACGUCCUGAGGGAGAAAGCGGGGGAUCGCAAGACCUCGCGCGAUUGGAGCGGCCGAUAUCGGAUUAGCUAGUUGGUGAGGUAAAGGCUCACCAAGGCGACGAUCCGUAGCGGGUCUGAGAGGACGACCCGCCACACUGGAACUGAGACACGGUCCAGACUCCUACGGGAGGCAGCAGUGGGGAAUUUUGGACAAUGGGGGAAACCCUGAUCCAGCCAUUCCGCGUGAGUGAAGAAGGCCUUCGGGUUGUAAAGCUCUUUCAGCAGGAACGAAACGGUCGGCUUUAAUAAAGUCGGCUAAUGACGGUACCUGCAGAAGAAGCACCGGCUAACUACGUGCCAGCAGCCGCGGUAAUA